RNAcentral lists this ribosomal RNA (909 nucleotides) under Triticum aestivum (bread wheat). RNAcentral's name for it is "partial small subunit ribosomal RNA". Lineage: Eukaryota; Viridiplantae; Streptophyta; Magnoliopsida; Poales; Poaceae. The record is from RNAcentral.
AUGGACAUGGAGCUCGACGCCGCUCGCCACGGGUUCGCCAAGAUGGGCUUCGGGUGCAAGCACUACAGGAGGCGGUGCAGGAUCCGGGCGCCCUGCUGCAACGACGUCUUCCACUGCCGCCAUUGCCACAACGACUCCACGAAAGACGGGCACGAGCUCGACCGCCACGCAGUCGAAUCGGUCAUAUGUCUCGUCUGUGACACCGAGCAGCCGGUGGCGCAAGUGUGCAGCAACUGCGGCGUGUGCAUGGGGGAGUACUUCUGCCGGGCGUGCAAAUUCUUCGACGACGAUGUUGACAAGGAGCAAUACCACUGCAAAGACUGCGGCAUCUGCAGAGUUGGAGGCAAGGACAACUUCUUCCACUGCCACAAGUGCGGAUCGUGCUACUCGGUGACCCUCCGGGACAAGCAUGUCUGCAUCGAGGACUCGAUGAAGAACAACUGCCCGAUCUGCUACGAGUACCUGUUCGACUCCCUGAGGGAGGCGUCGGUGCUGAGAUGCGGCCACACCAUGCACUUGCAGUGCUUCCACGACAUGCUCAAGCACGACAAGUUCACUUGCCCCAUGUGCUCCGUGUCCAUCUUUGACAUGGAAAAAUUCUUGAGGGCCUUAGAUGCCGAGAUUGAGGCGAGUUUCUUACACAUGGGAAAGGUCAGUGGCAAAUUUGCAACUGACCCAGAUUCAUUUACUAAACUCUAUAAAUCCGAUGAGACCCGGUUAUAUAAAUCUGAUGGUUUUCUGAUGCCAUUACUCCCGGCAUGUGUUUGUGGGUGGGUGCAGGGAUGGAUCGUGUGCAACGACUGCUGGGACACGACCCGAGUGUAUCCGGGCAUGGCGGGACAGAGAAAGUGUUGCCAUUGCCAGUCCUACAACACCUGCAGGGUUGCUCCAUCGGUAUUGCCGGCCUAG